Molecule: ribosomal RNA, 482 nt
Filed under: uncultured bacterium
Lineage: Bacteria
Description: partial 16S ribosomal RNA
Rfam family: Bacterial small subunit ribosomal RNA
Source: RNAcentral
AUUGAACGCUGGCGGCAUGCCUUACACAUGCAAGUCGAACGGUAACAGGUCUUCGGAUGCUGACGAGUGGCGAACGGGUGAGUAAUACAUCGGAACGUGCCCGAUCGUGGGGGAUAACGAGGCGAAAGCUUUGCUAAUACCGCAUACGAUCUACGGAUGAAAGCGGGGGAUCUUCGGACCUCGCGCGGACGGAGCGGCCGAUGGCAGAUUAGGUAGUUGGUGGGAUAAAAGCUUACCAAGCCGACGAUCCGUAGCUGGUCUGAGAGGAUGAUCAGCCACACUGGGACUGAGACACGGCCCAGACUCCUACGGGAGGCAGCAGUGGGGAAUUUUGGACAAUAGGCGAAAGCCUGAUCCAGCCAUGCCGCGUGCAGGAUGAAGGCCUUCGGGUUGUAAACUGCUUUUGUACGGAACGAAAAGCCUCUUUCUAAUAAAGAGGGGUCAUGACGGUACCGUAAGAAUAAGCACCGGCUAACUACGUG